Non-coding RNA from Brachypodium distachyon (stiff brome), 136 nucleotides. The record is from Rfam. NCBI's taxonomy places the organism in Eukaryota, Viridiplantae, Streptophyta, Magnoliopsida, Poales, Poaceae.
CAUCUACUCCCUCCGUUCAACAAAAGAUGUCUCAAGUUUGUCAAAAUUUGGAUGUAUCUAGAUGUGAUUUAGUGUAUAGAUGCAUUCAAAUUUAGUCAAAGUUGAGACAUCCUUUGCUGGAUGGAGGGAGUAUAUG